UGUGUGUGUGUGUGUGUGUGUGUGUGUGUGUGUGUGUGUGUGUGUGUGUGUGUGUAAAAUCUGUUGUAAUUAUUUUACAUUUUUCUCUGCAUAGCUGUCUCCUUCACCUAUAUUAGUUUAUCUGUCUUUCUGGUCACAACAGAAAUUCAAGACGUUUGGGUCCUCAGCUCAACUGACCAAGACCUUUGCUCAUUGAAGGCAUGAAGUAAUUUGUGAUGCCCCCACGAUUGCAGUUUUUAAAUCCAGAUGGCUUGCUCUUUUUAACAUGUGCGAGAGCUGGAUGGUCUUUCAACAACACUGCUCCGGGUCUUCAGCAAGAAAGGUGCUUCUCAUGCAAGGAAGAUACAGAGGAUCCUGGUGCCCAUGACUCAGACUGACAACAUUGAUGUGAAGAGGGAGUGCAUGCUGAGGAGCUGACGGUCUACCUGAAUGAAGAGCCAGACAAAGUGGAUGUUGAUCUGGACGGUCCAGCUGAAACGUAUUGUCUUCGUGUGCGUGUGAUCGACAGAGAGUCCUCAACGACAUUGGUAACGUACCUGUGGCCAUUGCAGUGUUUGUUUUGGUUUAUGCUCUUAAUCUCUGUUACCUUCCAGAAUGGAAGUACACUUUCAAAUUUCUGUUUCAUUCUAACCGUCUGUUUCAUCAGUUUUUGCACUGCUUUUAAAUGUACACUGUGUAAGAUUCUUAGUUGUUUAUUUCCAGAAUUCAUGCUACCCAUUCACUAAUGUUACCUUUUUCAUGAAUACUUAGCACCACCAUUAGGGUGCAUCAGUUGCCCCCUAUGAAAAGAUAUGGCCUUG
Long non-coding RNA from Engraulis encrasicolus (European anchovy), 800 nucleotides. RefSeq lists it as uncharacterized. Lineage: Eukaryota; Metazoa; Chordata; Actinopteri; Clupeiformes; Engraulidae. The record is from RefSeq and is a predicted model, not a curated record. The transcript is spliced from 4 exons.